This 253-nucleotide ribosomal RNA is filed under the name uncultured bacterium. RNAcentral describes it as "partial 16S ribosomal RNA". It matches the Rfam family "Bacterial small subunit ribosomal RNA", at positions 524 to 776 of the family's 1533-position model. The record is from RNAcentral.
UACGUAGGGGGCUAGCGUUGUCCGGAAUCAUUGGGCGUAAAGAGCGUGUAGGCGGCCCGUUAAGUCCGCUGUGAAAGUCGGGGGCUCAACCCUCGAAUGCCGGUGGAUACUGUCGGGCUAGAGUGCGGAAGAGGCGAGUGGAAUUCCUGGUGUAGCGGUGAAAUGCGCAGAUAUCAGGAGGAACACCGAUUGCGAAGGCAGCUCGCUGGGACGUUACUGACGCUGAGACGCGAAAGCGUGGGGAGCAAACAGG